Molecule: ribosomal RNA, 253 nt
Filed under: uncultured bacterium
Lineage: Bacteria
Description: partial 16S ribosomal RNA
Rfam family: Bacterial small subunit ribosomal RNA
Source: RNAcentral
UACGUAGGGGGCAAGCGUUGUCCGGAUUUAUUGGGCGUAAAGCGCUCGCAGGUGGUUCGAUGCGUCGUGCGUGAAAGACCCCGGCUCAACUGGGGAGGGUCGUGCGAUACGGUCGAACUGGAGGCCAGUAGGGGGAUGCGGAAUUCCGGGUGUAGUGGUGGAAUGCGUAGAGAUCCGGAGGAACCCCAGCGGCGAAGGCGGCAUCCUGGACUGGUCCUGACACUCAGGAGCGAAAGUGUGGGGAGCGAACAGG